GCCAACCUAACACAUGCCAAUGAGACGAAUUAAGGGGCAUUCUUCCUGGAUUCACGCCGGACCGGUGANUUAAACCGUAGGAAUCUGCCGUGGUAUGGGGAUGACGUCCGGAACGGGCCUAAUCCGCAUACGUCCCUGAGGGAAAUGGGGAUCUUCGGACCUCACGCUAUCAGAUGAGCCUAGUCGGAUUAGCUAUUGGUGGGUAAAGGCCUGACCAAGCGACGAGUCCGUGAUGGUCUGAGAGGAUGAUCAGUCACACUGGAAACUGAGACACGGUCCAGACUCCUACGGGAGGCACAAUGGGGAAUAUUGGACAAUGGGCGAAAGCCUGAUCCAGCCAUGCCGCGUGUUGAAGAAGGUCUUCGGAUUGUAAAGCACUGUAAGUUGGGAGGAAGGGCAGUAAGUUAAUACCUUGCUGUUUUGACGUUACCAACAGAAUAAGCACCGGCUAACUUCGUGCCAGCACCGCGGUAAUACGAAGGGUGCAAGCGUUAAUCGGAAUUACUGGGCGUAAAGCGCGCGUAGGUGGUUCAGCAAGUUGGAUGUGAAAUCCCCGGGCUCAACCUGGGAACUGCAUCCAAAACUACUGAGCUAGAGUACGGUAGAGGGUGGUGGAAUUUCCUGUGUAGCGGUGAAAUGCGUAGAUAUAGGAAGGAACACCAGUGGCGAAGGCGACCACCUGGACUGAUACUGACACUGAGGUGCGAAAGCGUGGGGAGCAAACAGGAUCAGAUACCCUGGUAGUCCACGCCGUAAACGAUGUCGACUAGCCGUUGGGAUCCUUGAGAUCUUAGUGGCGCAGCUAACGCGAUAAGUCGACCGCCUGGGGAGUACGCCCAAGGUU
RNAcentral lists this ribosomal RNA (844 nucleotides) under uncultured Pseudomonadales bacterium. Its description in RNAcentral is "bacterial SSU rRNA". It matches the Rfam family "Bacterial small subunit ribosomal RNA", at positions 42 to 895 of the family's 1533-position model. The record is from RNAcentral. Lineage: Bacteria; Pseudomonadati; Pseudomonadota; Gammaproteobacteria; Pseudomonadales.